UAGGGAGUGGGAGAGGCAGACGGUAUUCAGUGGGUAGGGGUAAAAUCCUCUGAUCCAUUGAGGACCACCAGUGGCGAAGGCGGUCUGCCAGAACACGUUCGACGGUGAGGGAUGAAAGCUGGGGGAGCAAACCGGAUUAGAUACCCGGGUAGUCCCAGCUGUAAACGAUG
Molecule: ribosomal RNA, 170 nt
Filed under: uncultured archaeon
Lineage: Archaea
Description: partial 16S ribosomal RNA
Rfam family: Archaeal small subunit ribosomal RNA
Source: RNAcentral